GCUGGGGUAGUCUAGUCUGGUAAGGCACCAGAUUGAAGAUCUGGCGAGUAUAUCUGUGCUCCGCGGGUUCAAAUGUAUUCGUUACGAGAAGUCCCGUCCCCAGCG
Molecule: transfer RNA, 105 nt
Filed under: Nanobdellota archaeon
Lineage: Archaea; Nanobdellati; Nanobdellota
Description: tRNA-Phe
Rfam family: tRNA
About the family: Transfer RNA (tRNA) molecules are approximately 80 nucleotides in length. Their secondary structure includes four short double-helical elements and three loops (D, anti-codon, and T loops).
Source: RNAcentral